Peromyscus californicus insignis is the source of this 303-nucleotide long non-coding RNA. RefSeq lists it as uncharacterized. The transcript has 2 exons. Lineage: Eukaryota; Metazoa; Chordata; Mammalia; Rodentia; Cricetidae. The record is from RefSeq and is a predicted model, not a curated record.
UCUACUGUGCAGGACCGCCAUUUUUAAAGGGACAGGAAACGUGGGUUUUGUUGUUGUUUUUGUUUUUCUUCUGGGAAUCAACCUAGGUUCUUGCACGAACUAAGCAAGCACUGCACCCCUGGAGCUACACAGCCACAGCCGUUACUAGGCUAAGACAGAAUUGCCAAAUUGAGGCAAUCUUGGUUUCAUCCCCAGAGCCUGCAUGGUAGGAGAGACUUCUACCACGCACUGAACUCUGACUGCCACCUGUACUGCUUGACACAUACACAAAACAGAUGAACAAAAUAAAGAUUACCAAGUCUA